This 854-nucleotide ribosomal RNA is filed under the name Buellia polyspora. RNAcentral describes it as "partial large subunit ribosomal RNA". It matches the Rfam family "Eukaryotic large subunit ribosomal RNA", at positions 70 to 943 of the family's 3401-position model. Lineage: Eukaryota; Fungi; Ascomycota; Lecanoromycetes; Caliciales; Caliciaceae. The record is from RNAcentral.
AGGGAUUGCCUCAGUAACGGCGAGUGAAGCGGCAUCAGCUCAAAUUUGAAAUCUGGCCUCUUCGGGGCCCGAGUUGUAAUUUGUAGAGGGUGUUUCGGGCGAGGCGCCGGCCCAAGUUCCUUGGAACAGGACGUCAUAGAGGGUGAGAAUCCCGUAUGCAGCCGGUGACCGACCUCAUGUGAAGCCCCUUCGACGAGUCGAGUUGUUUGGGAAUGCAGCUCUAAAUGGGUGGUAAAUUUCAUCUAAAGCUAAAUACCGGCCAGAGACCGAUAGCGCACAAGUAGAGUGAUCGAAAGAUGAAAAGCACUUUGGAAAGAGAGUCAAACAGUACGUGAAAUUGUUGAAAGGGAAGCGCUUGCAACCAGACCUGUGUUCGGGUGAUCAACCGCCGUUCUCGGUGGUGCACUCGCCCGUUGCAGGCCAGCAUCGGUUCGGGCGGCUGGAUAAAGGCCUUGGGAAUGUAGCUCCCCUCGGGGAGCGUUAUAGCCCUUGGUGCAAUGCGGCCUGCCUGGACCGAGGACCGCGCUUCGGCUAGGAUGCUGGCGUAAUGGUUGUCAGCGGCCCGUCUUGAAACACGGACCAAGGAGUCUAACAUCUAUGCGAGUGUUUGGGUGUCAAACCCAUGCGCGCAAUGAAAGUGAACGGAGGUGAGAACCCUUAAGGGUGCAUCAUCGACCGAUCCAGAUGUCUUCGGAUGGAUUUGAGUAAGAGCAUAGCUGUUGGGACCCGAAAGAUGGUGAACUAUGCCUGAAUAGGGUGAAGCCAGAGGAAACUCUGGUGGAGGCUCGCAGCGGUUCUGACGUGCAAAUCGAUCGUCAAAUUUGGGUAUAGGGGCGAAAGACUAAUCGAACCAU